RNAcentral lists this ribosomal RNA (446 nucleotides) under uncultured bacterium. RNAcentral describes it as "partial 16S ribosomal RNA". It matches the Rfam family "Bacterial small subunit ribosomal RNA", at positions 338 to 795 of the family's 1533-position model. The record is from RNAcentral.
CCUACGGGAGGCAGCAGUAGAGAAUCAUUCACAAUGGGGGAAACCCUGAUGGAGCGACGCCGCGUGGGGGAAUGAAGGUCUGCGGAUUGUAAACCCCUGUCAUGUGGGAGCAAAUUAAAAAGAUAGUACCACAAGAGGAAGAGACGGCUAACUCUGUGCCAGCAGCCGCGGUAAUACAGAGGUCUCAAGCGUUGUUCGGAAUCACUGGGCGUAAAGCGUGCGUAGGCGGUUUGGUAAGUCGUGUGUGAAAGGCGCGGGCUCAACCCUCGGACGGCACAUGAUACUGCGAGACUAGAGUAAAGUAGAGGUAACCGGAAUUCUCGGUGUAGCAGUGAAAUGCGUAGAUAUCGAGAGGAACCCUCGUUGCGAAGGCGGGUUCCUGGACAUUAACUGACACUGAGGCACGAAGGCCAGGGGAGCGAAAGGGAUUAGAUACCCCUGUAGUC